UAAGGAAUAUUGGUCAAUGGACGAAAGUCUGAACCAGCCAUGCCGCGUGGAGGAUGAAGGUCCUCUGGAUUGUAAACUUCUUUUAUCUGGGACGAAAAAAGGCUUUUCUAAGUCGUCUGACGGUACCAGAUGAAUAAGCACCGGCUAACUCCGUGCCAGCAGCCGCGGUAAUACGGAGGGUGCAAGCGUUAUCCGGAUUCACUGGGUUUAAAGGGAGCGUAGGUGGGUCGGUAAGUCAGUGGUGAAAUCCCCGAGCUUAACUUGGGAACUGCCAUUGAUACUAUCAGUCUUGAAUACCGUGGAGGUCAGCGGAAUAUGUCAUGUAGCGGUGAAAUGCUUAGAUAUGACAUAGAACACCAAUUGCGAAGGCAGCUGGCUACACGAAUAUUGACACUGAGGCUCGAAAGCGUGGGGAUCAAACAGGAUUAGAUACCCUGGUAGUCCACGCCCUAAACUAUGGAUACUCGACAUACGCGAUACACUGUG
This 486-nucleotide ribosomal RNA is filed under the name uncultured Bacteroidota bacterium. RNAcentral's name for it is "bacterial SSU rRNA". It matches the Rfam family "Bacterial small subunit ribosomal RNA", at positions 355 to 841 of the family's 1533-position model. Lineage: Bacteria; Pseudomonadati; Bacteroidota. The record is from RNAcentral.